This 1272-nucleotide long non-coding RNA is filed under the name Physcomitrium patens. Its description in RNAcentral is "long non-coding RNA (PPAT_LNC004568)". The record is from RNAcentral. Lineage: Eukaryota; Viridiplantae; Streptophyta; Bryopsida; Funariales; Funariaceae.
UAUCCUAGAAUAGACCUCACAUGAUUUUUUAUCACUAAUACAAUGGCUAGUUCAAAUAAUUAAACCAUCUUCUUUUUUGGAACAUACUUCAAUUCCAUUUCUCUUACAUAACACCUUAAAUACUUUGUAAUAUCCUUCUUGUUAAAUUGAUCAAUCUUAUCUAUAACCGCCUAUAAUGUUUUAUUUUCCAUAUCCUCUUUGCACUCUUUAAUCUAUUUUUGUUGCAUAAAUAAGUAUUUAAUUUUUAUUUAAGGUUUCUCUGAUAUCUCUUUAAGAUUUCUUGUGGAUUCUUUUGGAUUUCUUUAGGCUUUCUUUAAGAUCUACAUAUUAUUUUUUAUGAUUUGUUUAGAAUUUCUUUAGGAUUUGUUUAGAAUUUCUUUAGGAUUUCUUCAUGUUUCUUUUGUAAUUUCUUUAAGAUUUCUUUUGGAUUUUAUUAAAGCUUAAUUAGCAUUAUUAAAAUUUAAUUGGAUUUUAUUUAGAAUUCUAUUAAAGUUAUAAAAAUCUUGUUGUUAUAAUUUUUCUUUUGCAUCCUACAACUAGGUGCCCAAUGCAUUCUCAAGCAAGACUUCAUACAAUAUGACAUAUUUAGUGAAUCUGACGUAAAAAGCUUGAUGUAGAAGGUUGUUAAAUAAAUAAAUUGUAAUCAAAUCCUACUUUAAUCUUAAUUGAAUUCCUUAUGAAUACAAACUAAAUUCUAGGUCAAAUCCUAAGUAAAUCCUAAAUCUUAAAUCAAAUCCUAGAAAAAUUCUAAAUCCUAAAACAAAUCUUAGAUAAACCCUAAGUUCUAAAUAAAUCCUAAAUCCUAAACUAAAUCCUAUACAAAUUUUAAAUUCUAAAUCAAAUCUUAGAUAAAUCCUAAAUCUUAAAACAAAUCUUAGACAAAUUUUAAACUCUAAAUCAAAUCCUAGAUAAAUCCUAAGUCCUAAAUAAAUCUUAAAUCCUAAACCAAAUCCUAAUCAAAACCUAACCAACUCAAAUUAAUCCUAAGAUAGAUUAGAAUCCCAAUAUUUAUUGAUUAAACCAUUAAUCUUCCUUAAAAAUUUAUACACCUAUCAACAUGUUACUUAAAAAUAAAUAUAAUAAAUUUGAAGAUAAUUCAACUUAUCAAAUAGAAGAAAAAUCUUGAAAUCUGCUUGAGUGUAAGCUGGCCUCCUAUUCCAAUCUGAAUGUUGAACUUUAAAUACCAAUAUCUCUUUUUGGAAGCAUUAAAUUUUUUUCAAGAUUCAUUUAAACUAUUAAAAGUCAAAUCAUAUUUUCACACAAAAAAAUAUC